AUUUACAUUCACUCCAUACGCUACUAUUUCAACAGUAUUAAUGUUAUGAAAUUACCGGAAACAUGAUCCACCUUUGGUGAUAUUAUUUUACAAGGAAACGUUAACCGAAUCACAUGUGAGAUAUGUUUUUGAAAGUUGUUAAUGCUGUCAUUGUUUUUACGUUCAUACAAACGGUGCAGUGUCAAUAUGAAAAAUUGCCCUUAAAGCCUGACAAAUGUAUGGGCAAUAGCGAUGUUAUGGAUCGCCACUGCUGUAUUUUCCCGCCUUUUUUUUCUCGCGAUGUAUCGCGUGAAUGCGGCGCCAGGUUUUCCAUUCGGGAAAUGAACAGAGCAGCAAAUAUAACCAUCUUGAGACGAGAAUCGAUCAAAGAGUGUGAUUACUGGAAAUGUGUACUCAAUAGAUAUGCAAUGCUAAACCCUGUUGGAACUGUCAAUGAAGAAAGGUUUUAUUCACACCUGGAGAAAUGGACGACGCUAAAUUCGGAGUUCAACACGAUCAUGAUCAGUGCUAAAACUCAUUGCAAGCAAACCUUUAGAAUGCAUACGAUAAAUUAUUGUGAUUUUUUUAACCUGCUGGGCUGUGUUAGAAAUUACAUUAACGUGGACUGUCCCAAAAUAAUAAAUUCAAAGGAAUGCUUUGAAUGGAAGGAAUUUUACGAUGAAUGCCGUGAAUUUUUUAUAUGAAAUCAUCAAGUUUAUUCAUUAAAUUACUUAUGAUAAUUACAAUGCAAUGAACAAACUAUUAUGGUGCC
Leptidea sinapis is the source of this 751-nucleotide long non-coding RNA. RefSeq lists it as uncharacterized. Lineage: Eukaryota; Metazoa; Arthropoda; Insecta; Lepidoptera; Pieridae. The transcript is spliced from 5 exons. The record is from RefSeq and is a predicted model, not a curated record.